UACAGAGGGUGCAAGCGUUGUUCGGAAUUAUUGGGCGUAAAGGGCGCGUAGGCGGUGCGGUAAGUCUGCGGUGAAAUCUCCCGGCUCAACUGGGAGGCUGCCGUGGAAACUGCCGUGCUUGAGUGCAGGAGAGGAGAGUGGAAUUCCUAGUGUAGCGGUGAAAUGCGUAGAUAUUAGGAGGAACACCAGUUGCGAAGGCGGCCUGCUGGGCGUAUGGCUGACACUGAGGCGCGACAGCGUGGGGAGCAAACAGG
This 254-nucleotide ribosomal RNA is filed under the name uncultured bacterium. RNAcentral describes it as "partial 16S ribosomal RNA". It matches the Rfam family "Bacterial small subunit ribosomal RNA", at positions 524 to 776 of the family's 1533-position model. The record is from RNAcentral.